RNAcentral lists this ribosomal RNA (331 nucleotides) under Campoletis sonorensis. Its description in RNAcentral is "partial 16S ribosomal RNA". Lineage: Eukaryota; Metazoa; Arthropoda; Insecta; Hymenoptera; Ichneumonidae. The record is from RNAcentral.
GGUUUUUUGAUUAUAAUAAAAAAUUUAACCUGCUCAAUGAAAUAUUAAAUAGCUGCAGUAUAUUGACUGUACAAAGGUAGCAUAAUCAAUAGUUUUUUAAUUGAAAGCUGGAAUGAAUGGUUUGAUGAGAUAAAAUCUUUUUUUAAUUUAAAAAAUUUAGAAUUUUUUUGUUAGUUAAAAAACUAAUAUAUUUUUAAAAGACGAGAAGACCCUAUAGAGUUUAUUAAUUGGGGUGAUUUUUAAAAGUUAAUAAACUUUAAUUUAUUAUAAUUUCAAAAAUUAUUGUAUUUAAAGAUCUUUAAUUUAAAUUACCUUAGGGAUAACAGUGUAA